RNAcentral lists this long non-coding RNA (1311 nucleotides) under Mus musculus (house mouse). RNAcentral describes it as "Ftx transcript, Xist regulator, non-protein coding". Lineage: Eukaryota; Metazoa; Chordata; Mammalia; Rodentia; Muridae. The record is from RNAcentral.
UCCGCGCCGCGGCCGCAAGUAUAGCAGGUUUCGUACCUGGUGUUCAUCGCCGUUAAGUCAUCGCUGCUGCCACCCAGGCACGGCUCUCUAUGCCGCCGCUCCCUCCACCCUCUAGGCACUGCCUGCCGUAAGAAUUUUAACUGCGACACUCGCUUCAGCAGGAGAUUUUAUUGGCUGCAGACACACGCAGCAUCUUCUUGCGCUCCUCCUUGAGGUGGAUGGGCAGCUAGCUGGAGAUGACACAGGAUGAUGCGCAUCUUUCGCACGCUGGCUCCAAGAUCUCCGCUGCCAGAUGCAGCAACAAAGCUUCUUUGUACAGACAGCCCUGGACACACUUCCAGCAGCAAUUCUUCUUGCAGGAACUGGUGCAAGAACAGGAUUUAUUCGUGGCACAGGAGCAGUUGGUGUCCACUGGGAGUGGAGGCAGAAGAGAGACCAGAGCGGUGACUUCAACAGAAGUGGAGUAAAUAAAGAUGAUCACAGAACUUGGAAGCUGACGAAAUUAAUUUUGGAAAAGAGCUGGCUUGGAGCAUGACAGAAGAAUUCGAUGGAAAGAGUGCUGGGAGCCCAACUCAAGACUGAUGUGUGCUUGGCAGGCAGUCUACCCCCGAUCUCAGUCCUCCAGCCUUUCGGCCUUUUUUCCUUUUUGGAGACAGAAUUGCAUCAUAUGGCAUCCUACACAGUCCUGCCUCAGUCUCUGCAGUGCUGGGAUUGUAGGCCUAUGCCACCUAGCCUUUCUACAAUACAAACAAAUAUGAAAAGAAGAGGGACUUCUUUGGAAAGGAGUACAGGGACUAUGGAAGAGAUGAAAAGAUAAUAUUGUCAGAAAUUAUGCCGCUUUUGAAGAGAUAAACUGAACUCUUGAUUCUGUGAGGUUAUUAAAGAAUAUUAAUUUUCAAAUCACGGUAAAAUCUUGAUUCAGCAACACAUGAGGAUAAUCAUUGUGUCCAUGGAAACCUUGGGAAGCAGUUGAAAGCCUGGGUAAGGUGUCAAUACUUUUGGGUGAGGUUUCUCAUUUUGAAACAAAAGGAAAGUGGUUCCAUGUGGCAUUUCCAUCCUUCUUCAAUAGAUAGUAUGUGCUUACCUGAGAUUAUUUUAGGUGUUAAGAAAGCCCUGCCCAUGGGGCUGGAGAGAUGGCUCAGCGGUUAAGACCACUGGCUGUUCUUUCAGAAGUCCUCAGUUCAAUUCCCAGCAACCUCAUAGUAGCUCACAACCAUCUGUAAGGGAUCUGAUGUCAUCUUCUGGCACACAAGUAUACAUGCAGACAGAGUACUCAUAUACAUUAAAUAAAUAAAUAAGUCUUAAAAAAAA